UUGCACAAUGGGCGCAAGCCUGAUGCAGCCAUGCCGCGUGUGUGAAGAAGGCCUUCGGGUUGUAAAGCACUUUCAGUUGUGAGGAAGGUGGUGUCGUUAAUAGCGGCAUCAUUUGACGUUAGCAACAGAAGAAGCACCGGCUAACUCCGUGCCAGCAGCCGCGGUAAUACGGAGGGUGCGAGCGUUAAUCGGAAUUACUGGGCGUAAAGCGCAUGCAGGUGGUUUGUUAAGUCAGAUGUGAAAGCCCGGGGCUCAACCUCGGAACUGCAUUUGAAACUGGCAGACUAGAGUACUGUAGAGGGGGUAGAAUUUCAGGUGUAGCGGUGAAAUGCGUAGAGAUCUGAAGGAAUACCAGUGGCGAAGGCGGCCCCCUGGACAGAUACUGACACUCAGAUGCGAAAGCGUGGGGAGCAAACAGGAUUAGAUACCCUGGUAG
This 436-nucleotide ribosomal RNA is filed under the name uncultured bacterium. RNAcentral's name for it is "bacterial SSU rRNA". It matches the Rfam family "Bacterial small subunit ribosomal RNA", at positions 364 to 793 of the family's 1533-position model. The record is from RNAcentral.